Limulus polyphemus (Atlantic horseshoe crab) is the source of this 5404-nucleotide long non-coding RNA. RefSeq lists it as uncharacterized. NCBI's taxonomy places the organism in Eukaryota, Metazoa, Arthropoda, Merostomata, Xiphosura, Limulidae. The record is from RefSeq and is a predicted model, not a curated record. The transcript is spliced from 2 exons.
UGUGAUUUCCUUUUACAACUUGCAGUCAUUCUAGAAUGUAAAAAGGGUAAUUUACAUUUCUUUGACAAUUUUUCCUUUUACUCCUUGAUAUUCUGUGUUUGGCACAAAUUACUUGCAUUUUAAAUAUUGCUAAGCCAUAAUAUUAAUUUCUCUCCACGAUUAUUGUUUUCCAAGAUAUAACUAAGACCUUCACGUGUUUUGGUUUGCCAGAAACAGCAUAAUGGCUUAUGUCAUGAUUUAUUGUUUUAUUGCCCAGAAGGAUUAUGGCAAAAUAAAAUCAAAACUGAAAACAUUUCUAAUAAAAGAUUAAAGAUUUAAAUUGUGAAUAUAAGUAAUUUUGUAACUUCAUGAUCAAUACUGAAAAGGAAAAAAACUGUUACUCAAGUUAUUUCAUGUUUUUAAACAAUUCUUUUCAUGAUAUUUAAAUGUUGUGUUUAAAUGACACUGAAAUCAAGGAUAUUGGAGGCAUAAAGAAAUGUACAGAUAAAAUAUACAAUGUGACCAAAAAAAAAAAUGUUUGAUACUCAUUUAGGAGGUUGCACAAAUUAUGCAAAUGAAAUAUGAAAGCUGUAAAAUGAAAAUAAGUAGUUUUUUUCGAUCUUGAAAUUCACCAUUCAUGCUAACUGACUCGGUAAAUUCUCAGAUGGUCCUUUGGUAGGAUGUAUUUUCCCUGAAUUUAGUGUCUGCCAUUCACUUUAAGAAACUAUCAGUUUUAUCACAUGAAAUUUAAGAACAAUCAUUUUUAAACAAUAAUUUGUUCCUUUAGUUUGAGUUGAAUAGUUUUUUGUGAAAAUUUGCAAAGAGAAAGUUAAAGAGCAGUGUUAGUCAUAUUUUCAGCUUGAUACAGGUUUCAUACAACAUUACUUAUCAUUCAUUUUGAUGUAUAUAAUAGUUUAGCAUUAAAAAAAUAAUCCUAAGUUAUUGUACCUGAAGAUUUCUAUCAUAUCAAAUGAAGUGUAGUUAGAAAAUGCCUUCAAACAAAACCAAAACAAGUUGAAAAUAGGAAGGUUAGUCUGACAUGUGAAUAACUGAUUAACAAAUUUUAUUAAUUGCCCAGCUAUAGGGAUACCCUAAGUUACUUUUCCGAUGUAUGUAGAAUAUUGUGUAUUUCUGUACAUUUUGUCUUGGUAUACAAAGAAGACACCCCUGAUGAUAUACAUUUCUUAGUAUUUACCUGUUGUGGAAAAGGUCGCACUGACUACAUGAUUUAGGUUGUGGCAGUAAGUGUUGCUGAUUGAUUGCUCUCCUUAUAAAUACUUCAAUGUCAGGGGUAAUUGUACCAGAACUCUAGAAUCUCUGACUUGGGUGUUUGGCCCAUGCAGCACAUAAGGUGCUAUUCAUGUUGAAAAUCACAAUUUCUAACUAUGGUUGAACCUUGUUAUAACAAAAACCAAGAGACCCAGCAAAAUAAUUCAUAAUAACAGAAGUUAGUUAUAACUGAUUGGCCACUAGGAGUGCUUUCGUGAAAGAUAAAUAUGGCUUCCAUAAUUACAAUGCAAAGUUGUUGUUUUUUUCACACAUCACAUAUGCUAAAAUUAAGCUUUCCAUCUUUUCUAUUUCCAAUUAAAGAGGAUAACUUACAUCAUCAAUAUGUCGAAACAGUAUUAUGUCACUGUACUUGAAAAGGCAAAAUCUUACUUAAAAAAAAGUCCAUAAUCUUGGUUUGAUGGCGACCUGAAAAUGAGUAGAAAACAUAAUGUCUUCAAUCUGCAACAGUAGAAUUAAAAAUAGUUGUUUGAACAAUUUCAUGAGACUUGAGGUAACUGUAUAGCUUUACUAGGCAAUCCAUGACUUAUGACGUUGAAGGCACUUCUUUUGCAAUGAUGAGGAAUAAUGGAGCAAUGUUUUCAGUAUCAUCUUCAUCUUGUUUGUCAUAUUGUUGUUCCUGUAUGGAAGCAACAGUGUCAUCAUCAGAUGGUAACUUGCAAACUUCAGUUUCAUUGUCUGAACCCACAAAGUCCGAAAAUGACAUCUCGGGUAACUUGAGGCAUCGAGACAGGCUAUUCCAGAGACAGCUGACUUCAUCGAGGAUCUCCACCAAAGUUUCACAAGAAUUAUUAUUAUUGGCACUGGCAUCGAUCUCUCGUUCCACGCCGAGACUACCAGUAACUUGCGCAUUGGCAAAUGAUGCUAUAGGGAAGCAGUUAGCAAUAGUCGACUUUGUAACUCUCUGUGACGAGAGAUGUAGCACAUUAGUUGCAUCUUUGAUUAUUGAGAGAGUUUCUCCAGAAUUGAGAAACACCAGCAUUUUCUGUACGACCCAUUUCAGGUAAAAGCUCUUGAAAUUUCUGAUCAUGCCCUGGUCCAUCGGCUGCUGUUUUGAUGUUGUAUUGGGCAGGAGAAACACAACUUUUAUUGACUUCAGGUUUUAUAUGGCUGGGUAAGAUAGGCAAUUGUUGAUGAGCAUGAGGACUUUUUUUUCUAAUGUUUGAACUUCUUAUUUCCUUUAUGUAUCCAAUCUCUGAAUAAAUCUGUCACACUUUAAUGCUUGCCUGAUAAUUCUUGAAACACUGCAGCUUCUUUGAUUUCUCUAUGAUAAGUAGUGUCAUCAUAGUGAUUCUUUCUUUGUUUUUCUUUCCUCUUGAACAGACUUCAUUCUUGAAUGUUAGUCCUAUCAGGCACAGAAUGAAAAAAUAACCCAGUUUCAUCAGCGUUAAAUAUAUAUCUUGGGUUAUAACCUUCAAUUAUCACUGGUAUAAUGGCAUUGACAUCCAGUCAUCAAACAUCAUUGCUGACAGCCGUAACCUCACCACACAGUGAUUUAAAGAUGAUGCCAUGUUGAGACUUGAAUCUUUCCAGUCAACCAUUGCUGGCUUUGAAGUCGGAAUGCUUCAAUUUUUGUUCCAGUUCUCUGGUUUUUGCUUGGAUAAUUGGCCUGCUGAUUGAAAUAUUCAUUGAACUUUUAACAAUGCUUGCUCAAUAUCGUCCACUGCUGAGAAGUGGAAACAUUUGCAGUUGGAUUCGACUUUGUUGUGUUCAUACAUUUUCAUCAAAAUUGUAGACAAUGUACUGGGCUACAUGUUGAAUUUUCUACAGGCAUCACCAAGAAGAAUUUCAGACUUGAUAGCUUUUAUCAUUUGGACUUUGCAGUCCAACGAUAGAACACACCACUUAAUAGGAACACGAAAUGUUGACAUCUUGAAGAUGAUGCAUGAAGUGCACGUUUCGUUGAAGAAACUGCUUCAAUUUAUCUAAAAUUGUAGAGUAGAUUUAGAAGAAGUCUAAUCUGUUUAGGUUAUUAUUAUUUACAGUGCCUCUAGUUGGAUAGAGAUUUCUGUUCUACAUUUAUACAUGUGCAAAAUUUGUUACUGAUAACUGUAAAAUUUUGAUACUAACUGAAGAAUUAUGAGGAUCAUUUUCCCUAAUAUUUUGUAUUAGAACAAAAUAAAGUAUUUGCUUGCAAGGCAAAAAAAAUUAAUGUUUAAAGAUAAGUUUGAUUGUAAUGUGAAAUUUAAGUUAACAUAUCUAAUAGUUUCAUUCCUGCUUUUUAUGUUAAGGAAAAUGAAUUCAAGGCAUUGGUGAUUAUUUACUUAAUAGGAUGAAGAUACUCAAGUUUUAUUGGCAGCAGAUUUUGAAAUUGGGCAUUUUAUAAAAGAAAGAAUUAUUCCUAAAGCUGUUCUAUAUUUUACUGGGGAAGCAUUACAGGAUGAAGAGUUUGAUGAAGAGGAGGAAGGUGAAGAAGAGGAAGAUGAGGAGAAAGAUAGUGAUGAAGACAAUGAUCCUGAAUAUAAUAAUGAAGUAUAAGAUUCCGAGUUUUUUAGAAAGUAAACUAUUUUAAAACUGGGUCUUUAUUUACAAGGAAGUUCAAGUAAUGUUGUGAAUUAAGUAUGUUUUUGUUUAUCCUUGAAUUAUUUAUGUUAUAGUAAAACUAUUAUAUGAUGAUUUGCCAAUGCUAAAAAGUUUUAGCUAAUUAAUCUUUGUGAAGUCUUGCUAAGUGAAUUUUAUCCAAUAUUAUAUUCCUUGUUCUUACUGUUUUCUAGAUUCUGAGAGGUAAUGAAGUGGGUGUUUAAUGUGGCUUGAUAUUCAGAUCAGUGGUUAAAGCUAUUUGUAAGUUCUCAUACUGAACUCUAUGGAUUAGAGAAGCUUUAAUUUUCAAAAAUUAUUGAUAGUUAGCAAAUCAUAAUGUCUUAUACAGUGGAAUUAAUAUGUAACCAUGGAUCUGCAGUGAAAUGAUUACACAUUAAUGUGUUCAGCUUAAUUUUGGUCAUUUUAAUUUAUAACAUUAUAAAACAAAUUAUUAUUGUUUAUAUCCUGUAAAAGUAAUAUACAAGAGUGAAUGCUUGUCUAGAUUCUUGCUGAAAUUUAGAAACAAUUGAGUUUCAGAUUUUUCAUUCAUCUAAGUUAUUCCAGACAGCAAAUUCAUGCUAAGCUUUUAUAAUGAAUAACAUAACUAAAAGAUAAAAGUUAUUUAAUUUUUAGAUAUUGUAUACUCUAUUUUUAUACUAACUAUACACACAAUAACCAGUUUCUUAAGGUUAUGUGGAAUCUUUUUUUAACCAGUUUAAAUGAUUCUAGUUAAUUGAUAUAACCUAUAACUUUUAUAUUUUAUUUUUUCAUAAGGACUCUUAAGUUGUGUUUUAAAUUAUUUUUUGUACAUUUUCUUAGCAUCAGUAUAGUCUAUUUCCUCAUGUUAUUAUUGUUUAAAUAUUUUAUUGUUUUUACUUUAAAAUGCUUUUCCAAAAUAAAAGUGCAUAGUAAUGCAUUCUGUUAAUUAGCUUCUAACUAGUGAUAAGAAAAGUAUAAAAUAUUUGAGGACACAUUUUAUGGCUAACUUGAAAGCAUGAUAAGAAGCAAAAGGUGGAGAUGGUCUGAUAAUUUUUUUCAAUGUUAUUUGAUAGUGUAGCUGUUAAUAAAAAAAAACCCAUUAGUUUAUAUAUAUUUCUCUGUGUAUGUUUCCUGUUUCAGGCUGUUAAAGCAGCCAAGAAACAUAAACAACAACCGCAUGCCUGUCAACAGCUAUAAAAUGUCAGAAAAACAAGGCUAUUCUCUUGUCUAGAUCCAGGAAGAGGCUGUUUUUCAGACUUUAGCAGUUUAAUGAAUUAGCCUUAGAAUGUGUUGUUUUUUUUAAUAUUCUAAACAUUGAAAAUACUUUUGUAAGAAAAUCAUAUGUUUCUGAUUCUUAUCUGAGUUCUAGGUUGCUUUUCUAACUCUUGUAUAUUGUAUGCUAGAAUUUAAUUUAUUCAGUCUUAAGCUAUAAUAAACUUGUUUGCAUUUUUAUUCAGAUUGAUAUAUGUUGCUCAAGUAAUAAUAGAAUUGCUGUCAUUUCAAGAAUCUCCCCUUGAAAUAUUGGAACCAUUCACUUGCUCCAAACUUGAGACAUGUUGCAGAUUUGUGUAUAUUUUUAUAAAGCUUUUCUCGUGUACUUCAAAAAAGCAAAAAUAAAUUCUGAACUGUGUAACAUCUC